RNAcentral lists this microRNA precursor (103 nucleotides) under Marmota monax (woodchuck). Lineage: Eukaryota; Metazoa; Chordata; Mammalia; Rodentia; Sciuridae. The record is from RNAcentral.
AGUGGGAUAACUGGGUCAAAUGGUGGUUCCAUUCCAAGUUUUCUGAGGAAUCUCCCCAUUGCUUUCCACAGUGGCUGUACCAAUUUGCAGUCCCACUAGCAAU